RNAcentral lists this ribosomal RNA (429 nucleotides) under bacterium. Its description in RNAcentral is "partial 16S ribosomal RNA". It matches the Rfam family "Bacterial small subunit ribosomal RNA", at positions 355 to 776 of the family's 1533-position model. The record is from RNAcentral.
UAGGGAAUCUUCCACAAUGGACGCAAGUCUGAUGGAGCAACGCCGCGUGAGUGAAGAAGGUUUUCGGAUCGUAAAGCUCUGUUGUUGGUGAAGAAGGAUAGAGGUAGUAACUGGCCUUUAUUUGACGGUAAUCAACCAGAAAGUCACGGCUAACUACGUGCCAGCAGCCGCGGUAAUACGUAGGUGGCAAGCGUUGUCCGGAUUUAUUGGGCGUAAAGCGAGCGCAGGCGGAAGAAUAAGUCUGAUGUGAAAGCCCUCGGCUUAACCGAGGAACUGCAUCGGAAACUGUUUUUCUUGAGUGCAGAAGAGGAGAGUGGAAUUCCAUGUGUAGCGGUGGAAUGCGUAGAUAUAUGGAAGAACACCAGUGGCGAAGGCGACUCUCUGGUCUGCAACUGACGCUGAGGCUCGAAAGCAUAGGUAGCGAACAGG